Molecule: ribosomal RNA, 432 nt
Filed under: uncultured bacterium
Lineage: Bacteria
Description: partial 16S ribosomal RNA
Rfam family: Bacterial small subunit ribosomal RNA
Source: RNAcentral
ACGAACGCUGGCGGCAUGCCUAACACAUGCAAGUCGAACGAGACCUUCGGGUCUAGUGGCGCACGGGUGCGUAACGCGUGGGAACCUGCCCUUAGGUUCGGAAUAACUCCCCGAAAGGGGUGCUAAUACCGGAUAAUGUCUUCGAACCAAAGAUUUAUCGCCUUUGGAUGGGCCCGCGUUGGAUUAGCUAGUUGGUAGGGUAAAAGCCUACCAAGGCGACGAUCCAUAGCUGGUCUGAGAGGAUGAUCAGCCACACUGGGACUGAGACACGGCCCAGACUCCUACGGGAGGCAGCAGUGGGGAAUAUUGGACAAUGGGCGAAAGCCUGAUCCAGCAAUGCCGCGUGAGUGAUGAAGGCCUUAGGGUUGUAAAGCUCUUUUACCCGGGAUGAUAAUGACAGUACCGGGAGAAUAAGCUCCGGCUAACUCCGUG